RNAcentral lists this unclassified non-coding RNA (355 nucleotides) under Hevea brasiliensis (rubber tree). The record is from RNAcentral. Lineage: Eukaryota; Viridiplantae; Streptophyta; Magnoliopsida; Malpighiales; Euphorbiaceae.
AAAAACAACUCCCUUCUUACUCGUCACUCCAAGCAACCCCAAAAAACUUUACCAUGAAUUAAGAACAAAGAAAAGAUUCAAACAUCAAAAAAGCAAAACCAAAACAAAACUCCCUUUCAAUUCACAAAAACCACAGAAGCGAAUGCACAAGAAUGCAAAGAAGAUUUGAAUUUAUCUGAUUUUCCCCAUUUCACUCAUCACCCAAAUAGCUCAAUUGAACAUUGAAGUUAAAAACAAUAACAUAAUGAUAGGAACACAAAGAAGUUAGCAGCAUUGAACCUACGAUAAAGUAAAUGAAAUAACGUAAAAAGCAAGAAAACCCUUGAUAUCAAGGGACAGAGUGAUUAGAGACCUG